This 66-nucleotide transfer RNA is filed under the name Tineola bisselliella. RNAcentral describes it as "tRNA-Gly". The record is from RNAcentral. Lineage: Eukaryota; Metazoa; Arthropoda; Insecta; Lepidoptera; Tineidae.
AUUUAUAUAAUAUAUUUAGUAUAUUUGAUUUCCAAUCAAACUGUUUAAUUCAUUUUAAUAUAAAUA